Molecule: non-coding RNA, 96 nt
Organism: Tephrocybe rancida
Lineage: Eukaryota; Fungi; Basidiomycota; Agaricomycetes; Agaricales; Lyophyllaceae
Source: the annotation of a GenBank genome assembly
UCGGGUAUGGUGUAACGGCUAACAUUGCCGCCUCUCAUAUAGGAAUGCUAGCAUACUCGUGCGCGGCAGCUCGGGGUUCGAUUCCCCGUACCCGAA